GACUACACAUUUUCUGCCCCACUGAAAACAUCUUGACAAGAGACCACCAUGAAAAUGAAUCAAAUUUUGACAUUGUGCCUCGGGAUGCUGCUUUUAACCUUACCCUUUUCAACCUCAGAGGACAAAGGCUCAGCAAAAGAUGGUGAGCAAAAACCAGCCUCGCAACCGACAAACAACACCAAUACCAACACUGCGGGGGCCACCGAUGCUGCAGGACUGGAUGUGUUGCCCACCAUGCUGUGUUUACUGAUUCCAGCUGCCACCCUCAGCUUCAUGCACUGAACUGGCUGGAGAGUGUUUUGAUGUAACCCAGAAAGACGGACAGCCAGUCACAUGAAGAGAGAGAUUUUCCACAGUUCUGGAAGACACAUAAAUAAAGCAAGAUGCCACAGCAAUUCAAAUUAGAAAAAGAUUUUGUUUAUUUGUUAAUAUAAAUAUUUCUGGAAAAAAAAAAAACGGCUUUAAAAGGACAACACCCAACAAAGCCACACAGAUGGACUCUUGCCCCAUUUUUGAAAAUACCCAUCAGCUGUGAUUUCCUUGUUCAAAAUUAAACAUGAUAAUUCAGUUAUACAAUAUUUUUGGCUUGAUUGUAAUUAUAAUGAUUAAGAAUAUGUCUAUAUGCACAAUUAAAGUGGAUGAU
Molecule: long non-coding RNA, 643 nt
Organism: Danio rerio (zebrafish)
Lineage: Eukaryota; Metazoa; Chordata; Actinopteri; Cypriniformes; Danionidae
Source: RefSeq, marked validated